AUUGAACGCUGGCGGCAGGCCUAACACAUGCAAGUCGAACGGUAACAGGAAGACGCUUGCUUCUUUGCUGACGAGUGGCGGACGGGUGAGUAAUGUCUGGGAAACUGCCUGAUGGAGGGGGAUAACUACUGGAAACGGUAGCUAAUACCGCAUAACGUCGCAAGACCAAAGAGGGGGACCUUCGGGCCUCUUGCCAUCGGAUGUGCCCAGAUGGGAUUAGCUAGUAGGUGGGGUAACGGCUCACCUAGGCGACGAUCCCUAGCUGGUCUGAGAGGAUGACCAGCCACACUGGAACUGAGACACGGUCCAGACUCCUACGGGAGGCAGCAGUGGGGAAUAUUGCACAAUGGGCGAAAGCCUGAUGCAGCCAUGCCGCGUGUAUGAAGAAGGCCUUCGGGUUGUAAAGUACUUUCAGCGGGGAGGAAGGGAGUAAAGUUAAUACCUUUGCUCAUUGACGUUACCCGCAGAAGAAGCACCGGCUAACUCCGUG
Molecule: ribosomal RNA, 490 nt
Filed under: uncultured bacterium
Lineage: Bacteria
Description: partial 16S ribosomal RNA
Rfam family: Bacterial small subunit ribosomal RNA
Source: RNAcentral